CAUUUGAUCUAUGACACAUUGUUAACACAAAAAUCAGUAAAAUGAGGGUUGAAUUAAUAAAGGCAACCGUAGUAUACCGCUGUGAAACUAUUUCAGAAAAACAAUCUUGAAAAAAAAACGAUAAAGGAAAUAUAUCAAUGUACACGGGCAAAUGAAAACAGUUUUGUUGUAAGUAUUCAGUUCAAAUGGAGAUCGGAAACACGUGCACCCUUUACAAAACAAAUAAUUUUGCUUUUCAUAGUACGAAGAAAUGAACAUUUGUAGUCAUGCCAAAAAUUAUCAAAGCUGGUUUUUAUUAAAAAUAUAGAGACGAGAAAUAACCCUGAAUAAAUAAACAUUAUAUAACAAAUAAGCAUUACAAAUAGUUUCAACAGGUCAAUAAAAAAGCACGACUUGAGAGCACUCGCAGCCACUGACAGCCAGCCAAAAGCCAAAAAUUACCAAUAAUAAAACAAAUCAUGCACUUGAGACUACAAUUAACUAAAACACAUCCAAGAGAUUUGGUAUUUUAACGUCAUGGACAGUAAAAAAAAACCAUAAUUUGUGCAAUGCCAA
RNAcentral lists this long non-coding RNA (555 nucleotides) under Mytilus galloprovincialis (Mediterranean mussel). The record is from RNAcentral. Lineage: Eukaryota; Metazoa; Mollusca; Bivalvia; Mytilida; Mytilidae.